RNAcentral lists this ribosomal RNA (484 nucleotides) under uncultured bacterium. RNAcentral's name for it is "partial 16S ribosomal RNA". It matches the Rfam family "Bacterial small subunit ribosomal RNA", at positions 899 to 1397 of the family's 1533-position model. The record is from RNAcentral.
ACUCAAAUGAAUUGACGGGGACCCACACAAGCGGUGGAGCAUGGGGUUUAAUUCGAUGACAAGCGAAGCACCUCACCCAGGCUUGACAUCUAGGGAAUCUGGCCGAAAGGUCGGAGUGCCGCAAGGAACCCUAAGACAGGCGCUGCACGGUCGUCGUCAGCUCGUGCCUUGAGGUGUACUGUUCAGUCAGCCAACGAGCGCAACCCUGAUCCUGUGUUGUUAUUUCACAGGAGACUGCCGCCUCCAAGGCGGAGGAAGGUCAGGAUGACGUCAGAUCAGCGUGGCCCUUAUGCCUGGGGCAACACCCGUGCUACAAUGGUCGGUACAAACGGAAGCAAACCCGCGAGGGUAAGCAAAUCCGAUAAAGCCGGCCUCAGUUCGGAUUGAAGUCUGCAACUCGACUUCAUGAAGUUGGAAUCGCUAGUAACCGUGAAUCAGCUACGUCACGGUGAAUAUGUUCCUGGGUCUUGUACACACCGCCCGU